GAUUGAACGCUGGCGGCAGGCCUAACUGGCACAUGCAAGUCGGACGGUAGCACAGAGGAGCUCCUCGGGUGACGAGUGGCGGACGGGUGAGUAAUGUCUGGGGAUCUGCCCGAUAGAGGGGGAUAACCACUGGAAACGGUGGCUAAUACCGCAUAACGUCGCAAGACCAAAGAGGGGGACCUUCGGGUCUCUCACUAUCGGUGAUGAACCCAGAUGGGAUUAGCUAGUAGGCGGGGUAACCCCACCUAGGCGACGAUCCCUAGCUGGUCUGAGAGGAUGACCAGCCACACUGGAACUGAGACACGGUCCAGACUCCUACGGGAGGCAGCAGUGGGGAAUAUUGCACAAUGGGCGCAAGCCUGAUGCAGCCAUGCCGCGUGUAUGAAGAAGGCCUUCGGGUUGUAAAGUACUUUCAGCGGGGAGGAAGGCGGUGAGGUUAAUAACCUCGCCGAUUGACGUUACCCGCAGAAGAAGCACCGGCUAACUCCGUGCCAGCAGCCGCGGUAAUACGGAGGGAAUGCAAGCGUUAAUCGGAAUUACGGCGUAAAGCGCACGCAGGCGGUCUGUUAAGCCAGAUGUGAAAUCCCCGGGCUUAACCUGGGAACUGCAUUUGAAACUGGCAGGCUUGAGUCUCGUAGGGGGGGGGUAGAAUUCCAGGUGUAGCGGUGAAAUGCGUAGAGAUCUGGAGGAAUACCGGUGGCGAAGGCGGCCCCCUGGACGAAGACUGACGCUCAGGUGCGAAGCGUGGGGAGCAAAC
Molecule: ribosomal RNA, 757 nt
Filed under: uncultured Pantoea sp.
Lineage: Bacteria; Pseudomonadati; Pseudomonadota; Gammaproteobacteria; Enterobacterales; Erwiniaceae
Description: bacterial SSU rRNA
Rfam family: Bacterial small subunit ribosomal RNA
Source: RNAcentral